RNAcentral lists this ribosomal RNA (65 nucleotides) under Fusarium asiaticum. RNAcentral describes it as "partial 28S ribosomal RNA". The record is from RNAcentral. Lineage: Eukaryota; Fungi; Ascomycota; Sordariomycetes; Hypocreales; Nectriaceae.
UUGACCUCGGAUCAGGUAGGAAUACCCGCUGAACUUAAGCAUAUCAAAAGCCGGAGGAACCGCUC